This is a long non-coding RNA of Sinocyclocheilus grahami, 469 nucleotides long. RefSeq lists it as uncharacterized. The record is from RefSeq and is a predicted model, not a curated record. The transcript has 5 exons. NCBI's taxonomy places the organism in Eukaryota, Metazoa, Chordata, Actinopteri, Cypriniformes, Cyprinidae.
CUUGUUCUGUGAUUUCAGAAGCGAAAAAAACAACAACUCUACGACACCGGAGAAGUUCCUGAUUUUAACAUUUCUGAAGGGAGCUGCUGACAGAGAUAUAGAAAACACAGAUUGUUUAUGUUCCUAGAUUCUUCCAUGCUGAUGGCCGUGCACUAGAGUUGGAGCGUAUCUCCUGUCGAAGGACAUCUCUAGACAUUAUGAACCAUAUGACUAAGUUUAGCUCCAACCCCAAUUAAGCGGACCUGAGCAGCUGAUCAAGGAUCACCAGAAACUCUGCAGAACGUUGGUCCUCCAUGCCCAGGACUGGACACCAGUGUUCUAAAUAAAACCAAAGGCUAUUCAGCCACAGGUCACUGCAUCUUUUGCUGUAUGCUGGAGAAAAGAAGAUCAGAGAUCAGGCAGAUAUCUACUGGUGCCCCUGAGGGAACCGAUUUAAUGUGUUAGUUAAACCAAAAAUUUUCAUCACUCC